RNAcentral lists this ribosomal RNA (254 nucleotides) under uncultured bacterium. RNAcentral describes it as "partial 16S ribosomal RNA". It matches the Rfam family "Bacterial small subunit ribosomal RNA", at positions 524 to 776 of the family's 1533-position model. The record is from RNAcentral.
CACGUAGGGGGCGAGCGUUGUCCGGAUUUCUUGGGCGUAAAGAGCUCGUAGGCGGCUCAGUAAGUCAGGUGUGAAAACUCCAGGCUCAACCUGGAGACGCCACCUGAUACUGCUGUGGCUAGAGUCCGGUAGGGGAGCGUGGAAUUCCUGGUGUAGCGGUGAAAUGCGCAGAUAUCAGGAGGAACACCAGCGGCGAAGGCGGCGCUCUGGGCCGGUACUGACGCUGAGGAGCGAAAGCGUGGGGAGCAAACAGG